GUCUACAUAUGUGUGGGGCUAGUCUGUGAUACUCAGAUUAUCCAAGGGGAUAAUCUCAUUUUUAGUAUGCAAGGUUACACAGGAAAGCAGAUAUUUGUCUGCAUUAAUGACUUGUUAAAUAAAUUAAAAGUAGCCAACAUUUAAUUAACCCAUCUUUUUUGACAACCUUUAUAGAAACCCCAAUACAAUGACUGCCUUGUUCUCAUGGAUAUGUAGCCAGACAUAACCCAUAUAUUAUAC
This is a non-coding RNA of Pelobates cultripes (western spadefoot toad), 240 nucleotides long. Lineage: Eukaryota; Metazoa; Chordata; Amphibia; Anura; Pelobatidae. The record is from the annotation of a GenBank genome assembly.